This 266-nucleotide ribosomal RNA is filed under the name uncultured bacterium. RNAcentral's name for it is "partial 16S ribosomal RNA". It matches the Rfam family "Bacterial small subunit ribosomal RNA", at positions 793 to 1055 of the family's 1533-position model. The record is from RNAcentral.
GUCCACGCCCUAAACGAUGUCAACUAGGUGUUGGGUGGGUAAAACCAUUUAGUACCGGAGCUAACGCGUGAAGUUGACCGCCUGGGGAGUACGGCCGCAAGGUUAAAACUCAAAGGAAUUGACGGGGACCCGCACAAGCGGUGGAUGAUGUGGAUUAAUUCGAUGCAACGCUAAAAACCUUACCUACCCUUGACAUGUCCAGAAGCUCUUAGAGAUUUGAGUGUGCCCGAAAGGGAGCUGGAACACAGGUGCUGCAUGGCUGUCGU